GUGGGGAAUAUUGGGCAAUGGGCGAAAGCCUGACCCAGCAACGCCGCGUGAAGGAAGAAGGUUUUCGGAUCGUAAACUUCUAUCCUUGGUGAAGAUAAUGACGGUAGCCAAGAAGGAAGCCCCGGCUAACUACGUGCCAGCAGCCGCGGUAAUACGUAGGGGGCAAGCGUUGUCCGGAAUGCUUGGGCGUAAAGGGCGCGUAGGCGGCCCGGUAAGUCUUAAGUGAAAGUCCUGCUUUUAAGGUGGGAAUUGCUUUGGAUACUGUCGGGCUUGAGUGCAGGAGAGGUAAGCGGAAUGCCCGGUGUAGCGGUGAAAUGCGUAGAGAUCGGGAGGAACACCAGUGGCGAAGGCGGCUUACUGGACUGUAACUGACGCUGAGGCGCGAAAGUGUGGGGAGCAAACAGGAUUAGAUACCCUGGUAGUCC
This 425-nucleotide ribosomal RNA is filed under the name uncultured bacterium. RNAcentral describes it as "partial 16S ribosomal RNA". It matches the Rfam family "Bacterial small subunit ribosomal RNA", at positions 354 to 796 of the family's 1533-position model. The record is from RNAcentral.